UCUCUCUCUCUCGAAAUACUUUCCCUUGUCCAAUAAUCAACUGCCAACCCCACCUGAAAAAGCGGGAACUCUGCUUUUUCUCUCUUUCUUCUCGUUUUUCUGAAGAAAAAAACUGGCCACCAAAAUAAAGCAACUGCCUGCCCCAUUUUCUUUCUUUAAUUUGACUCUCUCUUGCUGGUAGCAGUAUCAGUGCCAUCCUAUUUUCAAAAGGAAAAAAUAAAAUCGAAACAACCCAAGGGAAAAAAAAUGUCGAAAGAGCAAAAGGAAAGCUCUGUAUCAAUCAUCAACACCACCCUACAGGCCCAGGUAAAACCCUUCUCUCAGAGGAUAAAUAAUCAUUGCACCUAUGUACACAUGCAAUUUACAUAUGAAGUUCCACACCCACACACACUCUCUUUCCCUCUCAUUGUUAAUGUAGAGGAAUCUCUCAUAAGUUUGAGGAUCUAGGAUUUUUGGGGAUUGAUUAACAUCCCAAGAUCGGAUUUUGUGGCUUCUAUGUAUACGUGGGAAUUGCAGGACAAAGAGGAGGAGAGGGAACUGGACCUAGGAUCCGACGAGCCUGACACGCCUUUACCUCUCACUGUUACUUCCCGGGUAAAUCAUGUGUUGUUUUUCCUGGUUACUCUCAGCUUGCAAGAAAGAGGAAAUGAUAGAAUUAUGGUGUUCUAAAUGAAUAACAUUUACGCAUUUGGAAAUGGGAAAUUAUGUAAUAUGCAGGUGUUGUAUAUGUUGGGAGAUAUAACGGUGGGUUCUGCACAUCGGUUUGCUCAAUGGCUGGAGUUGGUUCGUAAGAGAAGCGGGAAAUAUCGUGCCUCGGGGUUCCCCCGCCGCCCUCACGGGCUUGACACCAUGCCCUCUGGGUCUUCCAUCUUGCUCUCUUAUCAUUACUCAUUGCCGUAAAAUUGCUAUGACAAAUCUAAUUAUGAUAGUUUAAGUAUUAAUUUACUUAAUUGUUUGGCAAUUUAAUUAAUGGUAUCAUAGGUUGCAAUUUGGACUAGACUUUGUGAUAUCUGGAACUGAUUUCAUAUUCAAUUAUGACUUGAUUGCUAAAAUUAUUAGUUUGGGGUACUUGCCUAUUUAAAACUGAGUGGCCAUUAUUGGAAUUCAAUCAAGGAUUUGGGCGUUGGCUAUUGAACUAGAUUUUGGACCGGAGGAAUGACAUAAGGGUGGGAGAUUUGCAAAUCUAAAGUUAUAUUUGUAAUUCAAAUGUAGUUGUAAGAGAAAAUUAUUUAGUGUAUCCGUUGCAUGUGCACCUUUACUCACAAUGAUGCAGAUCCUAUUUUCUAUAAUUUAAGGAGAAUCUAAUUUUUUGAGUGAAGGUGUACAUACACAUGGUGUGUUUUAUUUGCAUAUAUAAUUUGCAUGUAAUAGUGCUUCUAGAAAUGAUAGGAAUGCAUAACCAACACAUAAAUGAAACUUGGCUCUCUCCCAAGUGAAUUGCUUAUUUCCAUUGGAAGAAGCGCUUGAUAAUUCACCCGCCUGUUACUGUGAAAUAAGCAAAGUAAGGAGUUAUAAGAAACAUUUUGGUAGUUUAUUUAACUUAGUGUUUAUGUAAAUGGAAAAGUGACAAUAACUUUCCUUUUAACCUGCUUAUCACUACGAUUACCUUUUAGUGCACGAGAAUUGCUUGUUGAUUCAAAAAGUGAUCCUCCUCCUGAACAAGCUCAAGAGACCAGUUUAUGGGAAAGGCUUGGUAA
Molecule: unclassified non-coding RNA, 1697 nt
Filed under: Hevea brasiliensis (rubber tree)
Lineage: Eukaryota; Viridiplantae; Streptophyta; Magnoliopsida; Malpighiales; Euphorbiaceae
Source: RNAcentral